RNAcentral lists this ribosomal RNA (265 nucleotides) under uncultured bacterium. RNAcentral's name for it is "partial 16S ribosomal RNA". It matches the Rfam family "Bacterial small subunit ribosomal RNA", at positions 793 to 1055 of the family's 1533-position model. The record is from RNAcentral.
GUCCACGCCCUAAACGAUGCGAACUGGAUGUUGGGCUCAACUUGGAGCUCAGUAUCGAAGCUAACGCGUUAAGUUCGCCGCCUGGGGAGUACGGUCGCAAGACUGAAACUCAAAAGGAAUUGACGGGGGCCCGCACAAGCGGUGGAGUAUGUGGUUUAAUUCGAUGCAACGCGAAGAACCUUACCUGGCCUUGACAUCCACGGAACUUACCAGAGAUGGUUUGGUGCCUUCGGGAACCGUGAGACAGGUGCUGCAUGGCUGUCGU